RNAcentral lists this ribosomal RNA (253 nucleotides) under uncultured bacterium. RNAcentral's name for it is "partial 16S ribosomal RNA". It matches the Rfam family "Bacterial small subunit ribosomal RNA", at positions 524 to 776 of the family's 1533-position model. The record is from RNAcentral.
UACGUAGGGCGCAAGCGUUAUCCGGAAUUACUGGGCGUAAAGCGCACGUAGGCGGCUUUGCAAGUUAGAGGUGAAAGCCCGGGGCUCAACUCCGGAAUUGCCUUUAAAACUGCAUCGCUAGAGUUGUGGAGAGGUAAGUGGAAUUCCGAGUGUAGAGGUGAAAUUCGUAGAUAUUCGGAAGAACACCAGUGGCGAAGGCGACUUACUGGACACAUACUGACGCUGAGGUACGAAAGCGUGGGGAGCAAACAGG